AUUUAUAACGACAACAAAUUAGUGGGCAUGAAUUUGUGCCAAUAUUUUAUUUUUUAAUUAAUGUUGUACAUUUUCGUGCCUAUAAAUUUCAAUGUCUCGUCUAUAGAU
This 108-nucleotide microRNA precursor is filed under the name Drosophila pseudoobscura. RNAcentral's name for it is "microRNA dps-mir-2507a precursor". The record is from miRBase by way of RNAcentral. Lineage: Eukaryota; Metazoa; Arthropoda; Insecta; Diptera; Drosophilidae.